RNAcentral lists this ribosomal RNA (460 nucleotides) under uncultured bacterium. Its description in RNAcentral is "partial 16S ribosomal RNA". It matches the Rfam family "Bacterial small subunit ribosomal RNA", at positions 338 to 795 of the family's 1533-position model. The record is from RNAcentral.
CCUACGGGUGGCAGCAGUGAGGAAUAUUGGUCAAUGGACGAGAGUCUGAACCAGCCAAGUAGCGUGAAGGAUGACUGCCCUAUGGGUUGUAAACUUCUUUUAUAUGGGAAUAAAAUGUUCCACGUGUGGGAUUUUGUAUGUACCCUAUGAAUAAUGAUCGUCUAACUCCGUGCCAGCAGCCGCGGUAAUACGGAGGAUCCGCGCGUUAUCCGGAUUUAUUGGGUUUAAAGGGAGCGUCGGUAGAUUGUUAAGUAAGUUGUGAAAGUUUGCGGCUCAACCGGAAAAUUGCAGUUGAAACUGGCAGUCUUGAGUACAGUAGAGGUGGGCGGAAGUCGUGGUGUAGCGGUGAAAUGCUUAGAUAUCAAGAAGAACUCCGAUUGCGAAGGCAGUUCACUGGACUGCAACUGACACUGAGGCUCGAAAGUGUGGGUAUCAAACAGGAUUAGAUACCCCUGUAGUC